GACUAUAAAGCAUAUUGAAGACCUGACGUGGGACGACUAUAACAAUAUAACCAUGGGAUGUUACGGUCUUUAUACGGAGCUGGAUCAACAGCACGACUAGAAAUGCUGUGAUCAAUCUAUUGUAUGUACCAGACUAGUCCCUUCUUAUAGGGACCCACAGAUACAAGUCCUGCGGUGAUCUCUACCUAUAGUAUAUAUAAGUAUGACUAUAAUAUGACCGGUCUCACCUGAGUAUGGUUGAGAGAAACACGAUUCCGUAUGUGAACCUGCGGAAGGAUCAUUA
RNAcentral lists this ribosomal RNA (283 nucleotides) under uncultured fungus. RNAcentral's name for it is "partial 18S ribosomal RNA". Lineage: Eukaryota; Fungi. The record is from RNAcentral.